Molecule: long non-coding RNA, 1939 nt
Filed under: Mytilus galloprovincialis (Mediterranean mussel)
Lineage: Eukaryota; Metazoa; Mollusca; Bivalvia; Mytilida; Mytilidae
Source: RNAcentral
CUUGUCGAGGCUAACUUCUAAUAUCGUAUACAGAAAACAAUACAACCAUACAGUUUGACGUUUACUUCAUUAUAACAACUGCUAAGGCGACGUCGCACACUGACGUCAACCCUAGAUACAUAACGGUAAAUUGCGACGUCUUGACUCCCGCGGUAUUCUCGACAUUCUCCGGGCGGCGAAAAGUAAAUAUCAAAUUUAAAUUACAAUCAAGAAAAAAAAAUUAAAAUUACUGUCUCUUAAUUUCAAAACUUAAACUUAAAACUUUAGCACAGUCACUAGCUUCCAGACUAGUUAUCUUUCGGUUCACAAUGAGUCUAUUUCGAUAAUUAACAGUGUCUAUAUUUUCCGCGCACCUGUUCACAUAGUCAAAUAAUUGGUUUUGCACUUAGCCAAUUAAAUCAAGCAUAUUCGUAAAAGUCCAUGAUAAAUCUGAACAGUUAAUAGGUUACGCAUUAUUUAGUCCAUUUUUUAAUAUUUUCCCUGGCUCUUGUGGCUGCUUCUCGGUUUGGCAAUAUCCGGCUUGUGGUCGCACUUGGUUCUUUCUUCUGUCGAGCUUCUUCGUCCUUUGAUGUUUCGAUGUCUGUACAAAGUUCAAGGGGAUACAACUUGACGAUCGGACGUGAUGUGGUUCCAGUUUUGGUUCGAAUAAUAGCGGAACGAACUAGUCCAUCAUUUCCUUUGGUUAGGUUUUCCACAAUCCCGGUUUUCCACAUUAUUCUUCUGUUUUCAUCAUGAAUCUGAACAAUAUCGCCUAUUCUGAUUAUAGUGGAAUUGUUUCCCGUUUUCUUGUGGAAUUCACGCAAUGACGUCAAAUACUCUGUUUUCCAUCUGUUCCAGAAUUGUUGUAAGAGUAAUGAUUGUCUUUGAACACGUUUGAUAAACUUUGUUUUGUUCAUAAAUGUCUCAUUAAACAUGUCAAUUUCACGAGUAUCCAUGUACGGUAAUGUAUUUAUCCUACGUCCAUAAAGAAGAUGAGCUGGCGUAAGUGGUUGAAGAUCCUCCGGGUCUGAAGACACAUAUGUUAAGGGUCGAUCAUUUAAGACGGAUUCUAUCUCUGUAACGAUUGUCUGAAGAGUCUCUAAAUUUACAAGUGAUUUUCCUAGUACUUUUUUUCAGAUUCGUUUUCGUCAUUCCAAUAAGACGCUCCCACCAUCCACCAAACCAUGGAGCACGUUUAGGGAUGAAAAACCAGUCGAUUCCUUGUGCUGAUAAUGUCUCUUUUAACUUUUUUGAAUUACAAAGUUGUUUGAUGUCUUCUGACGCGGAUACAAAAGUAGAACCAUUGUCUGUCAUAACUACUUUUGGUAAAGAUUUUCUGCUUGAAAAGCGCCGAAAAGCUUGUAAAAAUGUUUCUUCUGACAAAUUUGUAACGACUUCAAGGUGUAUCGCUCUAGUAGAGGCACAAGUGAAUAAACAUAUGUAGACUUUUUUUAUGACAUUUUCGUUAUCUUUUACUUGUAAUGCGCCUGUGAAAUCUAUCCCUGUAGCUGUAAAAGGGUCAGCUUCUUGUAGUCGAAUUUUAGGCAAUGGCGGCGGAUCCGGUGCUGCAUAUGGUUGUCCAACAACCUUCCUACAAGUAACACAUUUCCUGAGUGUUUUUCGAACAAACUGUCGGAUAGCGGGUAUCCAAAAACUUUGUCUCAGAUGUACGAUUGUGGCAUUUACUCCGGAAUGACAAAUUCUUUCAUGGGCAUUUAAUACAAUAAGUUUAGAAAUUGUAUGAUCGUUAGGUAAGAUAUACGGAAAUUUAGUGGACUCCGAUAAGGGCGCAUUCUGGAUUCUUCCUCCACAUCUGAUGAUGUUCCUGUCGUCAAGAAAUAAUCUUAAUUGUCUGAUUCUCGGUAAACUGUUCCGUGAUUUACUGUUAUACUUCAAUGCGUUAUAUUCCGUAGCAAAAGCCGUUUCCUGACAAUUUCGAAUCCAUAACUCAACAGAUUUG